Molecule: ribosomal RNA, 253 nt
Filed under: uncultured bacterium
Lineage: Bacteria
Description: partial 16S ribosomal RNA
Rfam family: Bacterial small subunit ribosomal RNA
Source: RNAcentral
UACGAAGGGGGCUAGCGUUGCUCGGAAUUACUGGGCGUAAAGGGCGCGUAGGCGGAUAGUUUAGUCAGAGGUGAAAGCCCAGGGCUCAACCCUGGAAUUGCCUUUGAUACUGGCUAUCUUGAGUUCGGGAGAGGUGAGUGGAACUCCGAGUGUAGAGGUGAAAUUCGUAGAUAUCAGGAGGAACACCUGUGGCGAAAGCGGCUCACUGGACCAUAACUGACGCUGAUGCACGAAAGCUAGGGGAGCAAACAGG